ACAGGGAUUGCCCUAGUAACGGCGAGUGAAGCGGCAACAGCUCAAAUUUGAAAUCUGGCGUCUUCGGCGUCCGAGUUGUAAUUUGCAGAGGGCGCUUUGGUAUUGGCAGCGGUCCAAGUUCCUUGGAACAGGACGUCACAGAGGGUGAGAAUCCCGUACGUGGUCGCUAGCCUUUACCGUGUAAAGCCCCUUCGACGAGUCGAGUUGUUUGGGAAUGCAGCUCUAAAUGGGAGGUAAAUUUCUUCUAAAGCUAAAUACUGGCCAGAGACCGAUAGCGCACAAGUAGAGUGAUCGAAAGAUGAAAAGCACUUUGGAAAGAGAGUUAAAAAGCACGUGAAAUUGUUGAAAGGGAAGCGCUUGCAGCCAGACUUGCCUGUAGUUGCUCAUCCGGGUUUCUACCCGGUGCACUCUUCUAUAGGCAGGCCAGCAUCAGUUUGGGCGGUUGGAUAAAGGUCUCUGUCAUGUACCUCUCUUCGGGGAGAACUUAUAGGGGAGACGACAUGCAACCAGCCCGGACUGAGGUCCGCGCAUCUGCUAGGAUGCUGGCGUAAUGGCUGUAAGCGGCCCGUCUUGAAACACGGACCAAGGAGUCUAACAUCUAUGCGAGUGUUUGGGUGUCAAGCCCGAGCGCGUAAUGAAAGUGAACGGAGGUGGGAACCUUUCGGGGUGCACCAUCGACCGAUCCUGAUGUCUUCGGAUGGAUUUGAGUAAGAGCAUAGCUGUUGGGACCCGAAAGAUGGUGAACUAUGCUUGAAUAGGGUGAAGCCAGAGGAAACUCUGGUGGAGGCUCGCAGCGGUUCUGACGUGCAAAUCGAUCGUCAAAUUUGGGCAUAGGGGCGAAAGACUAAUCGAACUAUCUAGUAGCUGGUUCCUGCCGAAGUUUCCCUCAGGAUAGCAGUAACGUUUUCAGUUUUAUGAGGUAAAGCGAAUGAUUAGAGGCCUGGGGGUUGAAACAACCUU
This 960-nucleotide ribosomal RNA is filed under the name Cumuliphoma indica. RNAcentral's name for it is "partial large subunit ribosomal RNA". It matches the Rfam family "Eukaryotic large subunit ribosomal RNA", at positions 68 to 1048 of the family's 3401-position model. The record is from RNAcentral. Lineage: Eukaryota; Fungi; Ascomycota; Dothideomycetes; Pleosporales; Didymellaceae.